Pristis pectinata (smalltooth sawfish) is the source of this 366-nucleotide non-coding RNA. NCBI's taxonomy places the organism in Eukaryota, Metazoa, Chordata, Chondrichthyes, Rhinopristiformes, Pristidae. The record is from the annotation of a RefSeq genome assembly.
AUGCGAAUACUCGUGCUCUGGAUUGUUUGUGGAACUUGUCUGACAGACCCAAGCCAUGGAGAUUCUGUCACUCAGACGGUAUCCUCAGAAGUGAAGACAGAAGGAGAGGAGGUGACUUUCAGCUGCACCUAUGAUACUACAGAGAGAAACUACAACUUAUUUUGGUACCGGCAAAUUUCAGACACAAGACCUGAGUUCAUACUGCGCAAAGAUACAGGUGGUGGUGAAAAUAAAGCAGAUUUUGCCCAAACCCGCUUCACCGGCCAUCUGCAGAAGGAAAGGAAAUUCACCAGUUUGACCAUCUCAUCGCUGCAGCUGAGCGACUCUGCAGUUUAUUACUGCGCCUUCUGCCGCACAGUGAUGUAA